RNAcentral lists this ribosomal RNA (164 nucleotides) under Oidiodendron sp. Its description in RNAcentral is "partial large subunit ribosomal RNA". It matches the Rfam family "Eukaryotic large subunit ribosomal RNA", at positions 99 to 261 of the family's 3401-position model. The record is from RNAcentral. Lineage: Eukaryota; Fungi; Ascomycota; Leotiomycetes; Myxotrichaceae.
CGGUAACAGCUCAAAUUUGAAAUCUGACCUUUCCGGGUCCGAGUUGUAAUUUGUAGAGGAUGUUUCGGGUGUGGCCCCGGUCUAAGUUCCUUGGAACAGGACGUCACAGAGGGUGAGAAUCCCGUACGUGCCCGGUGGCCGCCCCCGUGUGAAGCUCCUUCGAC